UCAACACAAUAUAUAAUCCCCAUAACAGCCUCUGCAGGUGCAGACUGAGUCAAGUUCCCACCAUGACAGUUGUACAGAGUGUCCUCCUCUUGGCUCUCAUUUCAGCUGCUCAGGGCCAGUCCCUCACCUCCUCAGAGCCAGUGGUGAGCAGAGCUGGACAACCAGUCACUCUGUCCUGUAAGGUGGACGGACUGUCUCUAGCUUGGCUGCACUGGAUUCGUCAGAAACCAGGGAAAGGACUGGAAUGGAUCGGACGCAUCGAUGGCGGAACUGGCACAAUAUUUGCUCCAAGUGUCCAAGGCCAGUUUUCCAUCACCUAAGACACUUCCCAAAAUCGUGUGCACUUAGAGGUUAAGAGUCUGAAACAAGAAGACUCUGCAGUUUAUUAUUGUGCACGAGAGCCACAGUGACACACAACACUACUAAGCUGUACAACAACUGAAUAACACUGAUCUCUGUGUGAGAAGCACUGAAGCAUGUCAGGGCUGUGAAAACACA
Perca fluviatilis (European perch) is the source of this 498-nucleotide non-coding RNA. Lineage: Eukaryota; Metazoa; Chordata; Actinopteri; Perciformes; Percidae. The record is from the annotation of a RefSeq genome assembly.